AGCUGUCCUUGCAUUAGCUGUAGAAGAGUGGUUUUGUCCAAAGUUCCCUUAAUAUCAGCUCUGCAGACGGUGUGAAGUGAUUACUGUUCUGAACGCUGUUUUUAUGCCCCUCCUGCAAUACUGCGAAUGAGCUGUUAAUGCAGUUUUACAAACAUGUGCUGAGCUAAAUGUUUCUGAGCUGCAAGUUCCAACUGUUCUGUGAUUUUAGAUCUGAGGAAGCUCGGGGAGCAGAGGUUAACUCCUUUGGCUGAGCCACAGACCAGCCUCUUCCUUCUGGUGCAGUGUAAUCUGUAUACCUGUGUUUGCAGAUGCAAAUUGGUCUUACCUGAUUUUAUCCCCCGGAGGGCAAACAGUUCAGAGCUGUACAGCAAGGCCAUCAAAGCAAUUUUAAUGUUUGCGGCUUCUCAAUUACCAGGAACGUACGGAGGUAUGGAGACACAGUGCUGUUAGUGCUGUUAAUUUGGGGAAAUUAUUAGAGGUUGCUUCACGCGAUGGUAUGGACUGUACUUAUUCCAGAGGAGUCAUUUCUAUCUUGGUAAGAAAUGAGAUCACAGAAUUUCUGCCCAGAUCAGUGUUGUUGCUCUCUGUUGAUGAAGUCUUUGAAAAGGACCUGUCUUCCUCACUGAUCUCACACUGUAAUGUCUUCAUUCUCCCGACCGGUUCAGGUCAGUGAUGGAAUAUAUAAGCCCUUGGGAGCCACAGAGAUGUGUUUGUGUUGUCUGGUGUGGUACCUGCUCUGCUCCUUGUCAGUACCUUGGCAACCGGUGAAUGAUUUCCUAGCGCAUUGAGGAAGAAGAAGCCAGAGAGUCGUGUGAAGGCCAGAAGGCAUAUUUUUCUUCCCAGCAGAUGAACCUGUUAGCUGGGAGAUGUCUUUUCCCUGUUGUGAGGAGAAAUGACUACUAUUUCACCACACCAAGGGACAAAAUGGAAUCCACAAGCAUUAUUUUCCUUGAAUAGGACUAGAUUUAGUCUUGGACUGACUGUGGCUGCUGAGUCAGUCCAGGUGCAUCUGAAAAUUUCAUAGUAAUGUUCAGAAAGAGCUGACGACGGCAGGAGCAUCAUUGCCUCAGCUGGGACUAAAGCUUCAGAACUUUUGUGGAGGUAACCUGAGGUUUCAACUGGCAAGCACCCUGGUGGCUAUAACUAGCCUUGCCUCCUUCAUCAGACAUCCGAAAGCUGCCCUGUAUCCUGUCCAUAUCCUGAAUGAUCCUGCUGAACUUACGAGAAGCACAAGUCAUGGCAAGCUGUGAGUUAGGAAAACCGGUGUCAAGUCCCACUCCAGUGUGUGAAGCAAGGCUCCUCUCCUCACUCCCAACGAGCUGGUAAUUUGGGGAGGAGAGCAGGAAAAGACAAACUGGAACAGCGUGCCAAACCGGGAUUGCAAGAGACAAGCGCGUCGUGAUCAAAGAGAUUAGGGUUUUAAUACCUUCCCCACCUGUAUCCCUCUUCGCGCAAAGUGUGCCAAGGAGCUGCAAGUCUGUGACACCGACUCUGCCAUCCGUUCUGUGAUGAACCUGGUAAGCCACGAAGCAUUAUUUUUGACUGCCGAUCACGCAAGCUGUUCGGGAGCAAAAACUUGAGCGCGGGAGUAGUUUGGAUUCGUGGUACCGGUUCCUGGAUCAACCUCUAGUUUUAACAUCCCUUGGGAUAACAGAUUACAAAGAAGGAAGAAAGAAAGAAAUGCAUCUGGGCUUAUAUCCAAUUGGAUUACUGUCAACCACAUCCAGCUGAGAAGGGAAAAGACAGAUGUAUUGAUGGUCACUGAAAUGAGAUGGAACAAAAGACGACAACCUGAGCAGAGAAGAAAAGGCACAACAGCUGCUCCUUCUCCUCUCUUUCUCCUUCUGCCCCUGGGCCAUGUCCAGGUUUGAUUUUUUCACGCCCACUUGCCUUGUUCAGCUGGAUCAGGAGUCAAACGGGCUGCGGAUGGAGAACUCCCCAGCAGAAGUCACUGACGAUAGCAUUGGCAAUUCCAGAUCUUUGGUGGCUCCCAGUCAUCUGUCAAAUGUUAAGUCUCAAAAGCCCUUAUUUAAAAUUCAAAGGCAAGAAACUUUGGCCUAGAAGAAUGUGGAUAUAUUUAAAAACAUCAGAACCCGAAACCUCAGCAAGCCAACCAAAUAAUCGAACAAGUUAAUCAGCAUGCUGCCCGUCGAUCUUUGCUCUUAUCAUCGGAAGUUUCAGAGGCACAGCUCAGGAAAAGAUGUGUGUUAUUUUGUUUGAAAGAGAGCAAGAGUGACAGCGAUGCUCCUUGGGAGGGCCUUGUCCUGCGGAUGGCUUUCCAGUCAAAACCAGUGGGAUUUGGACUUGCAGCUGCAUUUCAAUCAACCCGAGAAAGUUUCCUUGAAACGAGUGGCCCAGAUGUUGGCCCUGUUUAAAAAUGAGCUUUAACCUGGAGCUUCCCCGUCAUCGUUCCCAUCCCCUGGAGCACCGAAGAAGCAGUAGCAGUGACGAGCAAACUCUUCCAGAGCCCCACUUUGAAACGGACACCCAAAGGAUUUAAUUAUUUUCCCCGGGCCUAAUGUUUGACUAUUUCCAGUGCAACUCUGGCUGCUCACGCAUUAGUUUCAGUUGAGAUUGUUGGCGUGCCGCCAGAGCGAGGAAGUAUAUGGAUUAAUUAUAGGCCUGGUCACUUGCUUCACCUAGCGCCAGCUCCCUGGAUUUGUAGCUAAUUUCACGUUGGCAGGCUCUAGGCUUGUGACGGUGGAAAUGGGAGCGGGCUUGUACAACACCGAUGUAAUAAAUUCUGAAUGCCCCGCUCGAUAUUCUGCAAAAUAGAUUGGAAACGCAAAAGUAGACUUUGCUCAUUAAAUCCAUGUACGGCUCUGGAAGGGAGUAGGGAAGAAGUGAUCGGGUCCUCCAGCCUCUUCCAGCUCCCCUUCCCUAGGGCUGUGAUGACUUACAGAAGGGGAACAGGAUGUUGGCGGUAGGCGAUAGGUGACUGCUGGUCAGGGAAAUACGCAUUUUUUCAGGUCAUUUCCAAAUAAAGCGAGGCCAGCGAUCGCUGGCAGUUUCUCUUAACUGAGGUGCUUUUUCUCAUUGCCUGUUGCCUCCGCUCACUCCGGAUUGUUGUAGGUUA
Long non-coding RNA from Oxyura jamaicensis (ruddy duck), 3076 nucleotides. RefSeq lists it as uncharacterized. The transcript is spliced from 10 exons. The record is from RefSeq and is a predicted model, not a curated record. Lineage: Eukaryota; Metazoa; Chordata; Aves; Anseriformes; Anatidae.